Molecule: long non-coding RNA, 1569 nt
Filed under: Sus scrofa (pig)
Lineage: Eukaryota; Metazoa; Chordata; Mammalia; Artiodactyla; Suidae
Description: lncRNA (ENSSSCG00070018175.1)
Source: RNAcentral
UGUAAUAUGCCUAUACCCUCAUGUAACAAUAUUGCUCUAUCUUUUAUUAAAAAUGCAUUGCAUUUAACUACAUAUGAUAUGAUAAUAAUUAAAAAACAAAGAAUGCUUUUCUAGUAUUUCCUUUUCCUAUUUAGAAGCAUCUAGGUCAUUCUCUGCUCUGUGCUUCAGAAGAAGGCUGAGGACAAAAAAAAAAAGAUAGAUUCAAGAAGGUAUUUCCUGGCAUUUGGGGAUCAGCCGCUCAGGCCUGAAUAGAGGAGUGGAUGGGGAGGAAGUGAAAUGGACUCCGUUCAAAGACAAUAAAGCUGAUUCAGGGCAGCACCUGAUGUUGCAAGAGCCAUGCUUCCUGGUUCCUUCUUACCUCCAGACCGGAUAACAACCUCCUGGGCCCAGACUGGAAGAGGUGUCGGAAAGGAGAUUAGAGGCAGCUUUGAAGUUCAUCAGAAAACAAGAAACAAAGGGAAUAGAGAUGUCCUGGUACAAAGAAGGCAGCUGAGUCAUAGCUCCUGAAGCAGAAAACUCCAGGUACUCUGUGUGUGAUGGCCCGGGGUGGGGGGCAUCUGUGACAGCCCAGGAGGGGUCUGUGAUGGCAGAGGGGAGGCUGCCUCACCCAGCGGGGGGCAAAGACCACCGGGAGAUGAGACUCCUGCACCUGCCAAGGCGCCCAGGAACUCCAGAAUUGCAAAAUUACGCCACGGCGACCUGAUGGGCACUGAAGCAAACAAACAAAGACGCCUCAGAAAUAUUACGGGAUGCCAGUCAAGAUGAUAAAGGGACUUAAUUGUUCUUCCUUAACAAGAACUCAGAGGAGUUCCCAUCGUGGCUCAGUGGUUAACAGAUCCGACUAGGAACCAUGAGGAUGCGGGUUCCAUCCCUGGCGUUGCUCAGUGAGUUAAGGAUCCGGCAUUGCCGGGAGCUGUGUUGUAAGUCACAGAUGCGGCUCAGAUCCUGUGUUGCUGUGGCUGUGGUGUAGGCCGGCAGCUACAGGUCCAAUUGGACCCCUAGCCUUGGAACCUCCAUGUGCACCAGGUGCAGCCCUAGAAAAGACAAAAAAAGAAGGAAACAAGAACCCAGAGCCCUGGAUCUUGAGUUUACUCCUGCCAGCAGUGGCAUUUUAACCCGAGUGGAAGAAAACAUUUGUGUCAAAUUGUAGUCAUGUGUUAAUAAGUCUCUCUAUAAAGCCUUGAAGGCCUUGUGCCAGUGCUGAUCUUCAGUACAUAUGAUUUCACAUGAUCAGUAGGCAGUUCACACAUUCCCUGAGCUUGUUCUGAGGAGGAAGAUGCAGUUUAUGGAAGCUAAAGACCUGUAUCAGGAAACCUAAGUAUUUUGUCCAUGGCUGUGCCAAGAAAUGAAGGGGCUGUUGGGGAAAGGCAGUGCCUUGGAUAUUUGCCCUGAGCAGCCACGGGACAAGCAACCCUCUGUGAUACAGUGGAAGAUUAAUAGUGUCCCAUCACAUGACAUUGCCUCUAAAUCUCUAACUCAGGGAGAUUAGGAAGUUUCCAAAAUCCAUGACUGAGAACUGGAUAUUAAUUAAACAGAAGGUAAAUAAUAAAUUACCGCUUCAAAGAUGCA